UACGGAGGGUGCGAGCGUUGUCCGGAUUUAUUGGGUUUAAAGGGUGCGUAGGCGGCUCUCUAAGUCCGGGGUGAAAGCCCGUUGCUCAACAACGGAACUGCCCUGGAUACUGGGGAGCUUGAGUACAGACGAGGUUGGCGGAAUGGACCGAGUAGCGGUGAAAUGCAUAGAUACGGUCCAGAACCCCGAUUGCGAAGGCAGCUGACUAGGCUGUUACUGACGCUGAGGCACGACAGCGUGGGGAGCGAACAGG
This 253-nucleotide ribosomal RNA is filed under the name uncultured prokaryote. Its description in RNAcentral is "partial 16S ribosomal RNA". It matches the Rfam family "Bacterial small subunit ribosomal RNA", at positions 524 to 776 of the family's 1533-position model. The record is from RNAcentral.